This is a long non-coding RNA of Saccostrea echinata, 384 nucleotides long. RefSeq lists it as uncharacterized. Lineage: Eukaryota; Metazoa; Mollusca; Bivalvia; Ostreida; Ostreidae. The record is from RefSeq and is a predicted model, not a curated record. The transcript has 4 exons.
CAUAUGCCAGAAUCAUAUGGACCGCAGACUGGCCCUGGUGAUUCCGUUAAGAAAAAAGAGGAAAAAUCAGUGCUUGUGCUCAUUGGUCAUUGGACAAAGGGUGUAUGCCAGAAUUUUUUCAAGAACAGUCUGAAUCUGACAUGGAAAAAAUUAAGAAAAACAGCCUUCCUGUUUAUAAAUCUACAUUCUGACAAAGGAUCAUUUUCUUGAGAUAGGUGGAACCAACAGUCAAAUACAGACACUUCUAAGAAAAGUAAAAAUCUGGCUCAGGUAAGAAAGAAAUUCAGGAGUUCUUAAAUUGCCCUUGGAGUUCUUGGAUUGCAUCAAACUGCUAAAAGACCUCAACAAAAACAGCGUCUUGAAAAUAAAAAUGAAAAUAUUCAG